CCCGCCGGCGACCGGCGCACGGGUGAGUAACACGUAUCCAACCUGCCGAUAACUCGGGGAUAGCCUUUCGAAAGAAAGAUUAAUAUCCGAUAGGAUAUCAAGAUCGCAUGAUCUUGAUAUUAAAGAAUUUCGGUUAUCGAUGGGGAUGCGUUCCAUUAGUUAGUUGGCGGGGUAACGGCCCACCAAGACGACGAUGGAUAGGGGUUCUGAGAGGAAGGUCCCCCACAUUGGAACUGAGACACGGUCCAAACUCCUACGGAAGGCAGCAG
This 269-nucleotide ribosomal RNA is filed under the name uncultured bacterium. RNAcentral's name for it is "partial 16S ribosomal RNA". It matches the Rfam family "Bacterial small subunit ribosomal RNA", at positions 84 to 354 of the family's 1533-position model. The record is from RNAcentral.